Molecule: ribosomal RNA, 255 nt
Filed under: uncultured bacterium
Lineage: Bacteria
Description: partial 16S ribosomal RNA
Rfam family: Bacterial small subunit ribosomal RNA
Source: RNAcentral
GACAGAGGGUGCAAACGUUGUUCGGAAUUACUGGGCGUAAAGCGCGUGUAGGCGGCUAAGUAAGUCGGGCGUGAAAUCCCACGGCUCAACCGUGGAAGUGCACUCGAAACUGCAUAGCUAGAGUCCUGGAGAGGAAGGUGGAAUGCUUGGUGUAGAGGUGAAAUUCGUAGAUAUCAAGCGGAACACCGGUGGCGAAGGCCGGCCUUCUGGACAGUGACUGACGCUGAGACGGCGAAAGCGUGGGGAGCAAACAGG